This 530-nucleotide ribosomal RNA is filed under the name Sticta plumbeociliata. RNAcentral describes it as "eukaryotic LSU rRNA". It matches the Rfam family "Eukaryotic large subunit ribosomal RNA", at positions 102 to 646 of the family's 3401-position model. The record is from RNAcentral. Lineage: Eukaryota; Fungi; Ascomycota; Lecanoromycetes; Peltigerales; Lobariaceae.
CAACAGCUCAAAUUUGAAAUCUGGCCUCCUCGAGGUCCGAGUUGUAAUUUGUAGAGGGUGCUUCGGGUGCGAUGCCGGUCUAAGUUCCUUGGAACAGGACGUCGUAGAGGGUGAGAAUCCCGUAUGCGACCGGCGAUCAAGCCCGUGCGAAGCCCCUUCGACGAGUCGAGUUGUUUGGGAAUGCAGCUCAAAAUGGGUGGUAAAUUUCAUCUAAAGCUAAAUAUUGGCCAGAGACCGAUAGCGGACAAGUAGAGUGAUCGAAAGAUGAAAAGCACUUUGGAAAGAGAGUCAAACAGUACGUGAAAUUGUUGAAAGGGAAGCGCUUGCAAUCAGACCGGUCCGGAGGCGAUCAGCCGCUGCUCGUCAGCGGUGCACUCGCCUGCGAUCCGGCCAGCAUCGGUUUGGGCGGCGGGAUAAAAGUCCCGGGAAUGUAGCUUCUCCCGGGGAGUCUUAUAGCCCGGGUCGCAAUGCCGCCCGCCCGGACCGAGGACCGCGCUUCGGCUAGGAUGCUGGCGUAAUGGUUGCAAGCG